AAAAGUAGAUCUGAAUAUGUUUAUCUUUUUUUCAAAGCAGUUGACAGGGCAGUCACACUCAGGCAAAAGAAAACCCACACUCUAAAUAUGAGCACAGGAUGUAAAGUUGCCGCAUGGAUGAAUUAGCAGGUGCUGUGAUGUUCUGAAGCUUCUGUCGGGGCUCUUGCAGGAAAUGCUCACCCGAGCCCUCCGUGGCCCCCACAGCUUCCCGGCAGGCCCCGAAGGUUUCUGCACAGGAAAGCGAUGACUCUGCAAGGCUGUGUCUUGGCUGCUGGCGCAGAGAUACAGGGCUGAGUCUUCUGGCUGCAGGGCGCGUAGGUGAAGGUAUAAGAGAGAGCUCUUGGAGCAUUCAGGACCCCUCUCAGCAACAGACCACUCCCAUUCAAGGAAUCGCCUUCUGUCCUGCGGGAUCACACAAGACAGCACCAUUCAAAACAUCCCUUCCCUCAAUGUCUAAGCACGGUGGAGCCCUUUUUGCCUGGCUCUGUGGAGGGAGGAUGACUGCAUGACCACAGAUGCAGUGUGGACCAGCGCCCAUCAUUCAAGGGUAUGACUGUGAUGCCAACCAGCAACCAGGCACUGGGGAGGGAGCUGAGGGAGCACGAAAGGGAUGAGCCACCCUCUGUCCCUGUAGUGGAGGGCAUGAGGCUUGGCUGGGCUUCGAGCUAACAUACACAGGAUGCUGAAAAAGAACAACGCAAGGUGUGUGGUGCAAAGGAAAGGGAAAUCAGCUUGAAGCUGAUGUUAGUGUGCUUGACCUGAGUACAGCCAUGUUCUCAUUCGAGGUACGGAUGGCUCCCCGUGGGCAAGAUCCCUCCUGGGCCAUCUCUCCUCUCACUCUCUAUCCCUCCCCAGGUCCCUGCCUCAGAGGUUUCACGGGAGCACAGCUCCUCCCUGUGGCCAAAGCAGCACUUGGCCACUCACCAACCCAGUGUCAGGAUCCAGACUGGAUCCAUAUCCCACAUCCCUGGGCAGCAGGGAUGGGUUUGAAAGGCCAGGGGAGAAUGAAAAGGAAAGAGAUGUUGGCAACAAUACAGAGCGUCAACAGUCGGAACACCAGGUAUCCCCACACCUAAGACAUUCUAAAGUUUUACUCAACAGAAAUUGUCUAUGUCUGAGUCUGGGCACCGUUGCAACACCUUAUCUCUACAAAAAUUACCAAAAAUUAGCCGGAUGUAAUGGUGCAUGUCUGUAGUCCCAGCCACUCAAGAGGCUGAGGUGGGAGGAUUGCUUGAGCAGGGAAGUCAAGGCUAUAGUGAGCCUUGUGUUACUGCACUCCAGACAGAGCAAGACCGUGACCAGCUAGAGAAUAAAAAUGUAUCUUACAUGAACUUUAGGAAAUGUAAUCAGUAUGUCAGUGUUCCAUCACUUCAUAUAUGUGAUGCCACAUUUCCUCAUAUAUUAAAUCAGGGGAACUGAAAGGAGAUGAUCUCCAAAGCCCUUCCAUUUCUAAAAUGUUAGAAACCACAUUAGGUCAUCAGUUCUGUGGAGAGUUUUCCAACUUGAAACCAGCUCGAUGAAUUCCUAUGGGUCAUUUCUAUUUCGCUGCAUACGCUAUUUAUGCUUCGUGACCAUUUAUUGAAAUAUCAUCAAUUUUCUUAAAAUGUAAAGUUAUGCCAAUAUUGACUUUUCAUUCUAGAACAUGUGAAGAUACAAAUGAACACAAAUAAACACAAAAAUGAGAUGAUUCAUACUUUCUAAGGGAUUUUUACCAUCUAUUUAUUGUUGUAUUACAGCAGUAUAACCAUUUUGUGAUGAUCAUUGUAAUUGUAGGAGUGAGAUUAGGGUCGUAAAUCUAUGUUAUAUGUAAAUCUACACUCGGCCUAGGGAGAAUACUUAUCCAUGAUUUUAGUCAAGGAUUUAUAAUUUAGGUUUGUUUUAACCUGGGGAUAUGUUCAGUCAGGAAGAAAAUUUUAGCAUUCCUCUAAUGUAUACAUAUUAUCAGAUUUUCGUUGUGGCCCAUAAAGCAAAAAAAAAAAAAAAAAAAAAAAAAAAAAGAAGGUAAAGGAAUGUAGAUUGGAUUUUAAGAAAGUGGGGUUGAAUAUUCUUCCCCUCAACGGGUUACAUAUAGGAUGGACCUCUAACCUGCUAUACUAGAUAAAAACCUAAAAUUAAUCUUGUUUCAAACUCUAAUAUCAUUCCUAUUAAAAUUAUUUCAAUUGGUAUCUACUUCAGCAAGAAAACACUUUGGUCCUUCUACAAAGAAAUAGAACAAAUUUGAACAAAUAAAAAUUUAUUGCAUUGUUUAGUUCCCAAUAAGUAAACCCAAUUGCAAGGAAAAUGGAAAAAAAAAAAAAAGCAAUAGAGUUUAAACAGAAACCUUAAAUAAUGCUGGAAGUAAAAGGUUUAACUUUCCUGAGGACAAUAGCUAACUUAUGUUAGCAUUUCCCACAACAAGGGGUGGUGACCAGAGAGCUCAAGUCAUCUGAAUUAGGAAUGGAUCUAAGAAGGAAAAUGAUCUCAGGAUCGUGUGAAUUGCAAGAAGAGUGAAGAGUGGAAUGGUAAAUAUGAAAAAAGUCAAGCAAACAUAUUUAUAUAAAAUAGAAGCAGUAUAUGUGAUUGAAGACAAGAGGACUUAACUGACUCCAAGACAGCUGGGAUUUAGGACACAGAGUACUAACAAGGAGCCCCAAGAACUCGUGUAAGAAAAUCUUUUUUAUUUUUUAUUUUUCUUUCUGGGCCAGAUCCUAAGUUAUGCAUGCAGAGGGUGGCACUCCUGAAGGCCCAGCAGGGAACAAACUCUGGAAGGCUGAAGACAUGGGCAGGGAUGUCAGAAGAUACUCAGGCCCAGAAGGGAUUGGCAUUCAGACCCAGUGAGAGUGGAGAGUCGUGGUGGGAACACCAUGAUUCCCACUAAGACCCUGGAAAGGCAUGCACUAGCAAUGAUGACCACAUGCUGGGGCUCCCUAAGAGGGAGGGCAAAGCUGAAACAGACCCUAGCUAGUCCUACAUUCAACCUUCCCAGAUAAAACCCAAUACUAUUUCCAAGAGAUAACAUAAACCAGAGCCUCAAGCCUAUGUCAUCCACAAUGUUUCUCAUAAACCCUUUCUAACCUUUCAUGUGGGAUAUUUAGAAGUCUCCUAAUCCUUCAUGCUACCCAAAAAUCUAUCUCCUUUCUGAUCCAUACUACUACCAGUGUUCCUGUACCAAAAUAACAGUUUCAUCAUGUUGUUUCAUUUGGAGUAGGACCAAUGGCUCACCACUGCCUAGAGAUUUGUGUCCAAAGUCCUUUCCGUGUCUCCCAAUAUCCCCAGUCAUCCAGCUGUCGCCUACUCUUGAGAAGAGUUCAAGAUGACAUUCAUCAGAAUUGGAGAGACACUUGCUUGUCACACUUCUUGAAGAGAAGGAGUCUACAAUGCACAAGGCUGCCUCCACCGGCUUCUCCUCAACACUUUCCAGUUUACCUAUUGCCAUGGAAUUUCAUGCCUCUCCAAAUAUUUUUCUGUUAAAUAAAGUACUUACUGAUCAUCA
Long non-coding RNA from Macaca mulatta (Rhesus monkey), 3472 nucleotides. RefSeq lists it as uncharacterized. The record is from RefSeq and is a predicted model, not a curated record. Lineage: Eukaryota; Metazoa; Chordata; Mammalia; Primates; Cercopithecidae.